This 296-nucleotide unclassified non-coding RNA is filed under the name fungal sp. RNAcentral describes it as "partial internal transcribed spacer region". The stretch from base 1 to 46 matches the Rfam family "Eukaryotic small subunit ribosomal RNA", at positions 1786 to 1831 of the family's 1831-position model. The record is from RNAcentral. Lineage: Eukaryota; Fungi.
AAGUCGUAACAAGGUUUCCGUAGGUGAACCUGCGGAAGGAUCAUUAUCACGUAUCCACGUAUAAACCAUUGUGAACCGUACCUCACCCCUGGCAGACCUGGUGAAAAAAAAAGGAUAUUUCUUUUUUUUUUUGUUCUCUCACGAGACACUAGUAACCCCAGGGUGUAUUAACCAUAUAUUAACCAUUAUAACCCAAACUUUAUAACUUUAUGAACUAAUUUUUAUUUUAUACUCUUCGGAGAUAAAAUUCAUUACGAAACAAAGAACAACUCUUAGCAACGGAUAUCUUGGUUCUC